Ruditapes philippinarum (Manila clam) is the source of this 155-nucleotide long non-coding RNA. RefSeq lists it as uncharacterized. The record is from RefSeq and is a predicted model, not a curated record. NCBI's taxonomy places the organism in Eukaryota, Metazoa, Mollusca, Bivalvia, Venerida, Veneridae. The transcript is spliced from 3 exons.
CAGAUAGUCAUGUUACGGCACUAGGUUUUGGUCCAGAUGACAUAAUGUUGGUUGUAUCUAGACAUGGUAAAGCUGUAUACAAAACAAAGUUAGAUGUUAAAAACCAAAAGGAAGAACCCGAAGUGUUAAUAGAUACAGGUCUGAGGCAUGUAACU